UGCCAGCGAUUAGGUCGGGAACUCAAAGGAGACUGCCAGUGAUAAACUGGAGGAAGGUGGGGAUGACGUCAAGUCAUCAUGGCCCUUACGACCAGGGCUACACACGUGCUACAAUGGCGCAUACAAAGAGAAGCGACCUCGCGAGAGCAAGCGGACCUCAUAAAGUGCGUCGUAGUCCGGAUUGGAGUCUGCAACUCGACUCCAUGAAGUCGGAAUCGCUAGUAAUCGUGGAUCAGAAUGCCACGGUGAAUACGUUCCCGGGCCUUGUACACACCGCCCGUCACACCAUGGGAGUGGGUUGCAAAAGAAGUAGGUAGCUUAACCUUCGGGAGGGCGCUUACCACUUUGUGAUUCAUGACUGGGGUGAAGUCGUAACAAGGUAACCGUAGGGGAACCUGCGGUUGGAUCACCUCCUUACCUGAAAGAAGC
Molecule: ribosomal RNA, 429 nt
Filed under: Salmonella enterica subsp. enterica serovar Oranienburg
Lineage: Bacteria; Pseudomonadati; Pseudomonadota; Gammaproteobacteria; Enterobacterales; Enterobacteriaceae
Description: bacterial SSU rRNA
Rfam family: Bacterial small subunit ribosomal RNA
Source: RNAcentral